CAGCACCUCAAGUGGUCAGGAGGAUUAUUGGGCCUAAAGCAUCCGUAGCCGGCUCUGUAAGUUUUCGGUUAAAUCCAUGUGCUCAACGCAUGGGCUGCCGAAAAUACUGCAUAGCUAGGGAGUGGGAGAGGUAGACGGUACUCGGUAGGAAGGGGUAAAAUCCUUUGAUCUAUCGAUGACCACCUGUGGCGAAGGCGGUC
Molecule: ribosomal RNA, 200 nt
Filed under: uncultured archaeon
Lineage: Archaea
Description: partial 16S ribosomal RNA
Rfam family: Archaeal small subunit ribosomal RNA
Source: RNAcentral